GACGGAGGGUGCUAGCGUUGUUCGGAAUUACUGGGCGUAAAGGGCGCGUAGGCGGCCGCCCGCGUCGGAUGUGAAAGCCCGGGGCUCAACCCCGGAACUGCCUUUGAUACUGGGUGUCUGGAGUCCGGAAGAGGUGAGUGGAAUUCCGAGUGUAGAGGUGAAAUUCGUAGAUAUUCGGAGGAACACCAGUGGCGAAGGCGGCUCACUGGUCCGGUACUGACGCUGAGGUGCGAGAGCGUGGGGAGCAAACAGG
Molecule: ribosomal RNA, 253 nt
Filed under: uncultured bacterium
Lineage: Bacteria
Description: partial 16S ribosomal RNA
Rfam family: Bacterial small subunit ribosomal RNA
Source: RNAcentral